AAAGGAAACAGUUUGCCGUCUGCUUUUUCUCUUCCCCCAUUUCCUGGACCGAACAUAAGGUGGUCAUGACCCAGCUUUGACCACGCCGCCAAGAACAACAUCCUAGGAACUGUGAUGCAACAAGAUAGGAAGGAGCCGCGUCCCUAAAUGACCCAAAAGGAGUGAACAGCGCCGGCGGCCUGGCCCACUCAGCUCUGGUCUCUUGUGUAGGAGUCAGGCUCUUAGUUUGAUCCCAGCAUUGAAAAAAAAAAUGACGGAAGGAAGGAAAGACAACCUUAGGACAAUUCUCAACAGCCCGCGAAGCGCAGAGAUCAAGGAGGCAGCUGUUAAAAAUCUGAAGCCACACAUAGGAAGCACCGAAAACAACGGUGCUUCCUCGACAGACACAACGGCGACUAUCAAUAGCAGAGACGUGCUCUGGGCUGGCCUCGGUGGCGGGGCUGAAGCAACCCUCUUCCGGUGGGGGGGGGGGGAGGCUCAGGGUCUGGUUUUGCUCUAGAAGAAGCUCGAGUCCAGUUUCUCCUUUUUAUAGAUGUGUUUCUGUCCUUUGAUCACGACAAGCCAUAAGAUGCCUCCUCUCCAGUCCUUUCUCUCCUCCUGUCAUUUCCUUAUCUGUUUCCAUAGUUUGGCUUUUCUUUCUCUCUCUCUCUCAUUUCUAUCAGUAGAGUUAGUCAUGAUGGCAUUGUUGAGUUAUUUGAUUAUGAAAAAAAAAGAAAAUUAAAAAAUAAACAAGCAAAAAAAAAAAAAACCCUCAUUCACAAACUCUCUCAAAGCACCACGAAGAAUCAGGAUUUCCCCUGAUUAGAAGGCAUCCCAGUUGGGGGU
Molecule: long non-coding RNA, 825 nt
Organism: Apodemus sylvaticus (European woodmouse)
Lineage: Eukaryota; Metazoa; Chordata; Mammalia; Rodentia; Muridae
Exons: 3
Source: RefSeq, a predicted model, not a curated record